UCAAUAUGUGUUUGUAUAAUCCCUAACUGUGUGUAGAAACAAGAGAUGGCUUUCUCUUGUGAUAUAAACUCGUUAUAUAUCUUGAUUGUGGGCCCCAAAACGCCUGAUGGGCAUUUUCAAAUAAUGAUAUUGUUUGCUACCCCUAUCCACUUCAACCUUGCUGACUAUUUGAUAUUUUUUAAAAGAGUUUAUGCAAAAGAACUUUUCUCAAAAUGAUUGUUUAAAGUUUGCUUUUUAGAUAUGAUUCAUGAAACAAGUUGGAUUGCCAUUCUCCAAAAGGUCAAUUUAGAAGACUAGGUGAAAGUCUUUAGAAAAUAUCUGUAUAUGAGGAGUUAUUGACCUCUUAGGAAAAGCCAUUCCUCUGGCCUGUUGAUCCCGGGUUUUUUCAUGGUUUAAGGCUUCGGUAUUUUGGAAGUUGCAAUCAGGAAGUUUCAGAGCUUAGCCUGUGUAUUCAAACUCUUACAAACUGUCUUUGUUUGUAGCGUAUGAUAAACCUCGCAGAGUUGACCCCUUAUAUCCUGUGUUCCAUCUGCAAAGGUUACUUUAUUGAUGCUACAACUAUUACAGAAUGUCUGCACACCUUUUGUAAAAGCUGCAUCGUGAGACACUUCUACUAUAGCAACAGAUGUCCAAAAUGCAAUAUUGUUGUACAUCAGACACAGCCCCUUUAUAAUAUCAGACUGGACCGGCAACUGCAAGACAUAGUCUAUAAAUUAGUUGUCAAUCUUGAGGAAAGAGAGAAAAAACAAAUGCAUGACUUCUAUAAAGAAAGAGGAUUAGAAGUGCCCAAACCAGCUGUCCCACAGCCAGUUCCAACGAGCAGAGGAAGACCUCGUAAGGUUCUAGGCUCAGUGUUCCGGAUUCCGCCAGAACUUGACAUCUCCAUACUUCUGGAGUUUAUUGGAGCAAACGAAGGCACAGGGAAUUUUAAGCCUUUGGAAAAGAAGUUUGUGCGUGUUUCUGGGGAGGCAACAAUUGGACAUGUGGAGAAAUUCCUCAGAAGAAAAAUGGAUCUGGACCCUGCUUGUCAGGUGGACAUAAUAUGUGGUGAUCACCUACUGGAGCACUACCAGACACUGAGGGAAAUUCGUCAAGUCAUAGGAGAGAGUGCAGUGCAGCUGCUGGUUAUUUUCAUUUGUCUGAAACUGGGCCUUCUCAGAGUUCUGCAUCACUGAUGGAUAUAAUGAGCUCACACAUGGGAAAAGCUAAAAGGAGUGCCUUCCGUGAUGUCCUUGGCCCUUGGCACAGAGGAUGGUUUGCUUGUACUGCACUAUGGCCUGGUGGUAUCUCCGCUAACUUAAAGAUUGCUGGAAUAUUACAAGGCAAAAGAAUCUGAAGAGUCAUGGCGCUUCUUCACUGCUGUUUCUCACCAAAGAAGCCAUCGUAUUUCCUGUGGCAGGAAGCAAGUUAAAGGAACUACCACUAACUGCUGUGUGAUCUUAGUGUAACAUCUGACUUCACCACUGUAAAAAAUUGCAGCUUCUGUAAGUACAGCUGUAGAUGUUGGUAUGCUUCAUGUUACAAAUUACUGUCUUCAAAUUUCACUCAGCUCAGGGAAUUUAAAUGCUCAGAGUAGCUGCAUUUUUUUUACUUUCUAAAACCCACAAGAUUUCACAGGGUUAACAGCCUUUUUUUCCUCUAAGCUCUGAGAUAUAUCUCUUGCUUUCUAAGUGUCUAGCUAGAACAGUGCUCUCAGGGAUGAUCUUCAGUGAGCAGUAUAGUGUAUUUUUGGGAGGAGACAGUGAGUUGCCUAAAAAAAUGUGUACUGUGAUCAUCUGUCUUCAUAUGUGAUUUGGGGGUAGGAAGGAAACUAGAAAUGCAGACCAAAAUAGGUAGAAAACGAUGCAGCAUAAGCAUUGGUUUUUUUGAGAAGUAGCAUUAAAUUUAGUUGUUUUUCUUGAAGAAAGACAAUUUUGUUUGCACUGGAAGUAUAUUUGCUGGUAGUUUUACUUAUACCAAAUGGUGGAUCACGCAUCUCUAGUCUUAAUGGAGAUGGGCUGACUGUAAGCUGUUUAAACUAUGCAUGAAAAAAAAAAAGUAGCACCUCUUUCUACCUGCUUGCUGUAUAUAAAAUGAUCACUGUCGGCGUGAUUCUGCUAUCAUGAAUCUGUCAACUGGCUUGACUGUCAGGAGCAUAAAUCCAUUCACUUUAGCACAUACCUCUCUAGCAGCUGUGAAAAUGGUUGCUUUUUCCACUCUUUUUAAUGUGUUUUAGUGCAUUGCAGUGGAGACCAGGGUUGAGUAAUGUAAUACUUGCCUGUUACUACCAGAUUCGCAGAGGAUUUUAGGUAACUUUAACAUAUUAAAAUACUAUGGUUUGUGACAACUCUAA
RNA transcript from Corapipo altera (White-ruffed manakin), 2332 nucleotides. It is a transcript of the gene named polycomb group ring finger 6, with no coding region annotated. The record is from RefSeq and is a predicted model, not a curated record. NCBI's taxonomy places the organism in Eukaryota, Metazoa, Chordata, Aves, Passeriformes, Pipridae. The transcript has 10 exons.